AUUGAACGCUGGCGGCGUGCUUAACACAUGCAAGUCGAACGAGAACGGAAUAUAGCUUGCUAUAUUUGUCAGCUAAGUGGCGCACGGGUGAGUAAUGUAUAGAUAACCUGCCCUUAAGAAAGGAAUAACAGUUGGAAACGACUGCUAAUGCCCUAUAUGCCUUUAAUACAUAAGUAUGCAAGGGAAACGCUUUAGUGCUUAAGGAUGGGUCUGUAUGGUAUCAGCUUGUUGGUGAGGUAAUGGCUCACCAAGGCUAUGACGCCUAACUGGUUUGAGAGGAUGAUCAGUAACACUGGAACUGAGACACGGUCCAGACUCCUACGGGAGGCAGCAGUGGGGAAUAUUGCACAAUGGACGAAAGUCUGAUGCAGCAACGCCGCGUGGAGGAUGACACAUUUCGGUGCGUAAACUCCUUUUAUAUAGGAAGAUAAUGACGGUACUACAUGAAUAAGCACCGGCUGACUCCGUGCCAGCAGCCGCCGUAA
RNAcentral lists this ribosomal RNA (485 nucleotides) under uncultured bacterium. Its description in RNAcentral is "partial 16S ribosomal RNA". It matches the Rfam family "Bacterial small subunit ribosomal RNA", at positions 30 to 523 of the family's 1533-position model. The record is from RNAcentral.